RNAcentral lists this transfer RNA (72 nucleotides) under Hofstenia miamia. RNAcentral describes it as "tRNA-Pro for anticodon AGG". It matches the Rfam family "tRNA". From Rfam's summary of the family: Transfer RNA (tRNA) molecules are approximately 80 nucleotides in length. Their secondary structure includes four short double-helical elements and three loops (D, anti-codon, and T loops). The record is from RNAcentral. Lineage: Eukaryota; Metazoa; Xenacoelomorpha; Acoela; Hofsteniidae.
GGGUUAGUGGUCUAGUGGUAUGAUUCUCGCUUAGGGUGGGAGAGGUCCCGGGUUCAAUUCCCGGCUAAUCCC